AGGGGUAGAGGCGCGGGAGCGAUGAGUAUUUUCCGGAGGCGGUAGCCCGGGAAGGAAGAGAAAGGCAAUCUCGCCGAAACGAUGAAGCGGACACGUGACAUUGUUGGGGCGGCAUCAAACAGGUGUCGCACUGUCACCGAACAACGGUGGUGCGCUAUCGGA
RNAcentral lists this non-coding RNA (162 nucleotides) under Murdochiella vaginalis. RNAcentral's name for it is "Lysine riboswitch". It matches the Rfam family "Lysine riboswitch aptamer". Rfam says of the family: Riboswitches are metabolite binding domains within certain messenger RNAs that serve as precision sensors for their corresponding targets. Allosteric rearrangement of mRNA structure is mediated by ligand binding, and this results in modulation of gene expression. The record is from RNAcentral. Lineage: Bacteria; Bacillati; Bacillota; Tissierellia; Tissierellales; Peptoniphilaceae.